CGAGGUCCCGCCCCCGGCGGCAGCAGGUUACGUUGUGUGCGAGUGGUUAGUUCCUGUACUAGGCCCGGGCGGGGGCUGCUGGCGAGUAACUGCCCUGGGGGAGGCGGGGUCCGAACCGGCGCUGGGGGCCUGGGGCCAUGGUGUAGCGGAGGCGCCGGGCGGAGCAGAGGGGGGCACCAUGAUCAUUGAGAACGUGGACGCCCUCAAGACCUGGCUGGCCAAGUUACUGGAGCCGAUAUGUGAUGCAGACCCUUCAGCCUUAGCUAACUACGUCGUGGCAUUAGUCAAGAAAGACAAACCAGAGAAAGAGCUGAAGGCUUUCUGUGCUGAUCAGCUAGACGUCUUUCUGCAGAAAGAAACUUCAGGUUUUGUAGAUAAACUAUUUGAAAGUCUGUACACAAAGAACUACCUUCCUUCCCUUGAACCAGCAAAACUAGAACCGAAGCCUGCAAGUCAGGAAAAAGAAGAAAUCAAAGAGGAGAUAUUUCAAGAGUCGUUUGAGGAAGAACGAGAUGGUAGGAAAAAGAAGUAUCCUAGCCCACAGAGAAACCGUUUAGAUUCUAAUGAACAAAGAACCAGAGAGAAAAAGAGAGAUGAUGGCAAAUGGAGAGACUAUGACAGAUACUAUGAUCGGAAUGAUUUAUAUAGAGACAAAUACGACUGGCGAAGAGGCAGGAGUAAAAGUCGUAGUAAAAGCAGAGGGUUAAGCCGAAGUCGUAGCCGCAGCGGGGGUAGAAGCAAAGACCGGGAUCUGAACAGAAAUAUUGUUGAACACAAGGAGAGAGCAAAAUUCAAGAGUGAAAGGAAUGACAUGGAGAGCUCAUAUAACACAGUGUCUUUGUCAUCCAGUAAUUCUACUGAACAGUAUUCCUCUGCGCAGUCUAUUCCCAGUGCUGUUACUGUGAUUGCACCUGCUCACCAUCCUGAGAACACAACAGAGAGCUGGUCAAAUUAUUAUAACAAUCGUAGUGUUCCCAAUUCAUUUGGCAGAAACGCUCCACCUAAAAGACGAUGUCGAGAUUAUGAUGAGCGAGGAUUUUGUGUACUUGGCGACCUUUGCCAAUUUGAUCAUGGAAAUGACCCUUUAGUAGUAGAUGAAGUUUCAUUGCCAAGCAUGAUUCCUUUUCCACCACCACCCCCAGGACUCCCCCCUCCUCCUCCUCCUCCUCCUCCACCUCCUCCUGGAAUGCUAAUGCCUCCAAUGCCCGGCCCAGCUCACAAUAUGAGAAUGCCAGGCCCACAAAUACAUCCUCGGCCACCACCUCCUGUUGUGCUUCCUGUAUCAAGACCACCUUUAACACAGUCAAGUUUGAUGAAUAACCGUGACCAGCCUCGGACAAGUGCAGUGCCCAAUCUUGCACCAGUGGGAGCAAGACUACCUCCUCCUUUGCCCCAGAACCUACUGUAUACAGUAUCAGAACAUACGUAUGAGCCAGAUGGUUAUAACCCAGAAGCACCUAGUAUUACCAGUGCUGGUAGAUCUCAAUACCGACAGUUCUUUACUAGAACACAGACACAGCGUCCAAAUCUGAUUGGCCUAACAUCUGGGGAGAUGGAUACAAAUCCAAGAGCGGCCAACAUUAUCAUCCAGACUGAAACUCCCAUUUCCAUUGCAAAUAACAGCAGCAAUGUAACCAGAGUGGUGCUUGAGCCAGACAACAGGAAAAGACCUCCAAGUAGCAUGGAAGGGCCAUCUGUAAAGAAACCCUGGAUGGGAAAGCAAGCCAAUAACCAGAAUAAACCAGGAUUUCUGAAAAAGAAUCAGUACACUAACACCAAGCUGGAAGUUCGAAAAAUCCCACCCGAGUUGAAUAAUAUUACACAACUCAAUGAACACUUCAGCAAAUUUGGAACUAUUGUUAACAUUCAGGUUGCUUUCAAGAAUGAUCCUGAAGCUGCACUAAUUCAAUAUUUAACUAAUGAUGAGGCCAGAAAGGCCAUUUCCAGCACAGAGGCAGUUUUAAACAAUCGAUUUAUAAGGGUGCUGUGGCAUAGGGAAAAUGAGCAGCAGCCACCACUGCUGCAGCAACACCUGCACCAUCACCAGCAGCAACCACCACAAUCUCUGCAUCACCAGCUUCAUCUUCAACAACAAACGCUGACUGCCCAACCUCCAGCUGCAACGGUACAUAGCAAUGUGUCAAAGGUGAUAACUAAACCACUGGCAUCGGGUGCCUAUGUCCUUAAUAAGGUUUCAGUUAAACGUCGCCUUGGAGCAGCAGGUGGAAACCAGACAGAUGCAGCACAUUUGUUAAAUCAGUCCAGCGCUACUGCGGAGGAUUCUCAGACAUUUCCUACUUCUACAAGCCAUACAAAAAUGGUGUAUAAUUCCCCAAACUUAAAGACCUCUGUGAAAUCUGGCACAGGAUCUAAAUCCCAUGAUGUUCAAGAGGCCCUUAAAAAGAAACAGGAGGCAAUAAAGCUUCAACAAGAUAUGAGAAAAAAGAAGCAGGAGAUGUUAGAAAAACAAAUAGAAUGCCAAAAGAUGUUGAUAUCUAAGCUGGAGAAAAAUAAGGCCACGAAACCAGAGGAGAGGGCAGAAAUAAUGAAGACCUUGAAAGAACUAACAGGAAAAAUCUCUCAAUUAAAGGAUGAAUUGAAAACUUCAUCUGUAGCCUCCACGCCAUCCAAACUGAAGUCCAAGACAGAGGCACAAAAAGAGCUUUUAGAUGCAGAACUGGACUUUCAUAAAAGAUUGUCUUCUGGAGAAGAUACAACAGAGUUGAGGAAAAAGCUCAGUCAACUACAGGUUGAGGCUGCCCGUUUAGGUAUCUUGCCUGUAGGUCGAGGAAAGGUGAUAUCUGCUCAAGGCAGAGGAAGAGGACGAGGUCGUGGUGGGAGAGGAAGGGGCACAUUGAAUCAUAUGGUAGUGGAUCACCGCCCCAAAGCUCUAACUGUUGGUGGCUUCGUAGAAGAGGAGAAAGAUGAAUUAUUACAACACUUCUCUAAAUUUGGAGAUAUUGAAGAUCUCCAAGAAGAGGAUUCUCCUUUAAGUGUCGUUCUGACUUUUAAGUCCCGCUCAGAAGCUGAAAAUGCUGCUAACCAGGGAUCAAGAUUCAAAGACCGAAGAUUACAGAUAUCAUGGCACAAACCUAAGGUACCUUCUGUGUCCACAGAAAUUGAGGAAGAGGAGUCCAAGGAAGAGGAGACUGAAACCUCAGAUUUAUUUUUGCACGAAGAUGAUGACGAUGAUGAUGAAGAUGAAGAUGAAUCCCGUUCUUGGAGAAGAUGAAACUUGAUUUGGAAUUGUAUAUUUUUAGGAAUAUAGUUUGAACUACAACUUUUAAAAAUUUAUUUAAGAAAGUUGAUGAGCCAAAAAGUUUUAUUUUACUUUCUUUUCAAAACACACAGUAGAUUUCAAGUGAGAACAAGUUUGUGAUCUGAACAUGUCUGAUACUUGGUCAGCCAAAGCUUUGCCCAAUGACUUUUUACAGAGUUAAAAAGAUCAUCAAUGGUGGUAGUCCUCCUAUAAAGAAGAAACUUAUCAAUAUUGUCAAACCCUUUUUUCACAUCACCUAUAUUAUCUUGUUUUUUAAUGCUCUGAUUUAUUAGAUAUAAAAGAAAAGAUGUUACAGGUUUUAUUUAGUAAUAUAAGGUUGCAGGAGAGAGCUGCAGACACAUUUUCAUUAAAUGUCAAUUGCUUCAUCUUUGCUAACUCAAAAAGGGUAGCAUUUUAUUACAUGUGAAGUCAACUAUUAUAGGAAAUAUUUGUCUGAAUUCAUUUUUUGCUUCAAGACCUGUCUGGAGAGCCACACACAACUUCAGUGUAGAAGACCCGAACUUUUUUUCAUUCUAGUGUUUUGUCUUCUGUUUCCUCUUGCAUACUUUAACAGGGUAUUAGUAUGAUACUGCCUGAUACUAGUUCACUGUAAAUUGCUUUAAAUCCUGUUUCACUGUGAAACAUUAGCAGUGACACUGAUAUCUGGGUCAUUAGCAUAUUGUUUCCAUUCUUUCACUGUCAGUGUCAGUUCCUUCCUACAGUUUGGAUACAAGGUUCAAGCUUAAUCCAGGCUGUUGAUUUAUUGCAUUGUCAGUAUUGAUAAAUGUCUAUCCUGUUAAACUGUAUAGAGUUCUAAAACAAUCAACCAUGAGAAUCCUCUUCUCCCACCUCUGCAAUGUGACUAGGUCUGUCACUUUUAUUAAUAUUCAGGCCAAACCCAUACAGUGUUCAGAGCAAGUUUUGUUGUUUUUUUGGCCCAUGGAAGGUCAAUAUCCUACUAUACUAAACCAGCACUUUAAGUGAUGCAAUUCUUAAGACUAGUGUUUAAAACUCACUUUAGGAAAACUAUUUGUAUUUAUAUCUUAAAGUGCAGUUUAGUUUAAAAGCAGGAAAGACAGACACUAUGAAAUUUUCAAUUGCCUUUCUUUAUACCACUUUAAAACAAAAAAAAACACCAAAAAAGAAAUGAUGGUGAUUGUGGUAGAAAUGGGGCUAAUAAGUUUAGACCCUUGAGAGCUAUAGAUCUUCAUAACUCUGUUAUGUGGGUCUUGCUGUUCGUGAGCAUAAAUACAUUAUCCAGUAGGCUUUUUCCUUCACUCUGUAUGCAUCUGUACUGUACACUUUGUACAGUAGGAGUUAUCUGUUAUAUAAGUAGCCAUGUAAAAUAGUGUCUUUGCGUUCUGAAUGUCAGUUUGAAGGAGCAAAGCAAACAUACUCUUACCAACUGCUGGGAUACUAAACAGCUUUGUUAUAUACAUGUACCAAAUGCAUACAUUCUUGGCUUUAGAAAUCGUAUAUUGCUUUCAGAUAUUUAGCACACCAGAGUAUUUGGCAAUUGGUUCCUGAUUCAAAAUAAAUACAGCAUGUACCAGAAAUUUUAAUUUAUGCUGAACAUAGCUAGUUACUUGAAGUCACGUUCUUUCAGGUUGCCCCAUGUACUCUUCCUCUCCAUUUGAGUAUCCUUUUGCUGUGGUAAUACGUAAAAGAAACCAAAACUUUAUCAUUUUAAGUUUCGGUAUCAGUUGAAGGGAAUAUGUCCUUCAGUAUUUUCCCCCUUCAUAUUAAGACUUCCAUUUUGUAGUUAAAUACUGCGUUCCUACUAAUGCUGAGUUUCAAUUAAGUAUAUGAAGGAAUGAUGAAAAAACAUUAAUACUUUGAACCUAGAAGAAUAAUCCUUGCUCUUCUCCCACCAUCUCUAAUAUUUUCUUAAUGUCUGUGGCUCAGUGUAUAUUUUGAAAGAUCCAUUACAGCAAAUGUUUGAGUCCUGACGGUUUAAAAAAUGAUAGAGGGAACAAAGGAUUUAUAUAUAUUUUUUUGUACAGAGUUUUUUCUUAAUUGUAUAAUUUUGUAAAUAUUUUGCUUUUUGUGUACUAAAACUACCAGCGUAUAGAUUUCAAUAAGAAUUGUUGUAUUUUUGUAUUUGGAAACUGAAGAUUACAGUGAAUGAAUGAAGCUGUAAGAGAAAUUUCAGUAGCCUUUGACACAGUUAAACAGAAUGGGGUUUCCUUUUCAUAUGGUUUUAGCUCUAAAAGGACACACCUUAUUGGCACACUUUGUUGAGAGACACUUUUGCCCUUGCUCAUAUGUAUUGGCUUUUUUAGUUGGGUGAGAUAGGCAAGAGGCAAGGGUGGAAGAUUUAUUUAAUGGGCCUUGGAGAGAUUUAUAUAACAUUUUCUUUGGUAUGCACAUUGGUAGCCUUACAUACAUCCUCAAGUGACAUCCCAAACAUGAUUUCUAAGCAUUGAAGCACAAAAGUGAGUUGUGCCUCUGAACUUAGCUUGUGUAUUAAAAACAUGCUAUUAUAUUAUUGGGAGUAUAACUGAGCAGCAUAACAGUAAUUGAUUAAAUUCUGGUAUUUAAGGAGUGGGAAAGCUGUUUGAAAGUGACCUUCAUUUUGCCAAAGCUAGAGGAUCUCCCUGUGUUGUAUUUUACGGCUUAGUAGGUAAUACUAAAUUGUUUAUUUUUAAGUAGGUAACAGAGAAUGCACAUUUUAUUUUUUAUUAUGGUAACAUUUUAUUUUUAUUAUGAAAUUAUAAUGUACACUUUCAGAAAGUACAGUUGACUUAAUUCAUAAUCAGUACUAUAUCUAUAUAUGCAUACCGAGCAACUUAUGUAUAGGAAAUUUAAAAUAAAAUGUUACCAAACUAAAGCCUAGUUUACAGACCAUACAACUGUAUAUUGCUAAACAUUAAACUUUGGUAUGAAGAAUUAUUCUUCAUUUCUUUAUCAUCAAAUUAAGUUCUUGAGCAUAACAAAGCCCAUGAGCUGUAAAGAUUCAUUUGAAAACACUUGCCCAUUUAUGCUGAAAACGUUUCAACAGUUUUUAACAAAAUCAUGUGAAAAGGAAUAUAAGUUCCUCUUGAUGUAUAGUAAACUUGUACUAUAGUUUUUACAAAAUUGUGAACUUGUGUAAUAGUAUAAUAGGAGAUAUUGUUGAAUUUCUAACUGUUUAUACAUUUAAAUUCAUAUAUGUAAUGUUUGUUUUACUGAUUACAAUCUGAAUUUCUAAGAUGCAUGUUGACUUUUUGCAAUAAAGAUAUAAUAUGGAAUGGUUCAAGAUUUAAAAAAGGAAAAAGCUACAAAUAACUCUAACUUAAAAAAUUGGAAAACUGAAGAACCAUUCCAAAAAAUUACAACCAUCACAAAAAGAGCUAUAUCACUUUUCUUCUGAAAAAUGUGUGCGCGCAUGUGUCUCUGUAUGUGUGUGCAGGCUUUUGCUUGCCUUAUAGUUAACAAAUAUUGCUGAAGCAGCUGGAGAGAAGAUAGUUUCUCUGUGGAGAGCAUUACAGUUCUGUCAGAGCCAGUAAGAAAUAAUGUGGUCAGCAAACUGUGAGUAUAUUUGUGUUUUGCAGAAAACUGCAAAGCAUUUCACAUCUUUUUAUUUAGAGGGUAAACUAAUUAUUUUAAUGCACCUGUGCCAGUGCACUGAACAAAAUGAAUUCAAAUCGCUGUGACCUUUUCUCUUCUUUUUUACUUCGUCUCAAUUUAAAAAAAAAAAAAAAAAGCUAUGCUACAUGUAACACUAGUGUCAUUUCUUCACCAUGCUCAUUCACUGGUGUGUUGUAUCCCUAUUACCCUACCUUCAUCUGUCAUUUAGAUUGUGAGUGCUUCAAGGCAGGAAUUGGCUUUUCUGUAUUUUUACAGUAUUCUGCACAAUGGGUCCCAUCCCCAAUUGGGGCCUUAGGCAGUGUAUCAUAAGGGAAAUUUUAAAAAGUCUUUCAUUUUUGGAAGUUGUUUCCUUUGCCUAAAAUAUAAAGUCUUGGAGCAGUUCUUAAUAUCUGUUUUACGAGAUGAGGGCUUUUGAAGGAAAGAGGCCUUGAAAUGGAAAUGUUUAGGGCGUGCGAUUUGGAAUAGGGAAUAAAUAGUUGCCCAAAACCCACUAACUGAACAUGUUUUCUAAGCAAGAAAAAGUAAUAGAAAUCAUCCUGUGUGUAUUUCAGGGCUCUUAUUUUUUCCUCUCAUGUUUUUGCAGAUCUUUUGUAUGGGAAUAUAGCUGUCUUGCCCCUGAAUUUUAGAAAUGCCCUUUUACUGGUAUGUGGCAGUUACACUUAUGGUGGAAAGUAUUCUUUAAAACCUUUAUGGUAAAAACGACGUAUUAAGGAGUCUAUUAACAGAACAAAUGUGAAGGAUCUGCCAUUGACACACAUUUCUGCACUCCAUUGAAGGUUAACCAACCAGUUCAGGUCUUGGAGUUAGGCUACUUGAUACCGGUAGAACGUGGUUGUGAGGCAGCACCCUUUGCUAGAUGUGGAGCCAACUGGGAUGAUCUAUGCUUUCUUCAGUCAACUUCAGGCUAGGCAUGCACGCUUUCUAGAAAGAGAGGUGAGGAUCACGGAAGCUUUGCGUAGGUGUCGUGGCAGCCUGUAGUCUAAAGCAAUACAGAUGAGCACAUCAAACUAAUUCUUCCUGAUCUACACUGUUUCCCUGUCAUAUUGGAUCCAAUUCAAUGUUAUGAUAUUUCAUCUAGACUUUGGACUGCAGGCAUGACUGUUGGUCUGCCUCUCUUCCAGAGACUUGCUUCAACAACUUCAGUCAGUAGCAAUGCUCAAGCUAACAGCCAGCAGUGCAACUUUGGGGGCAUACCUUUAUUGCCGAAGGCCAUAUCCAUUGAGCUUCCUUCCUCGGGACAUCAGGAUGAGCCAGACUGGCAAGACAGGUGUUUUCACAGAUAUUCACCCAACCACCACCAAAUGAACUCUUCCCACUGGGUAGCAACCCUGCAGAAGCAGCUAAAUCUGUGGUGGAAUGGGAGUAGGAUCUUUUCAGAGUGUUUAAAUUGUGUGUAUGGUGAUUAAAACCAUGGAGUUGCCUGUAUCAAAUGUAUGUUAGGUAGAUAUGAAGGAAAAAAGUGGUUAUGUGAUUUUUUUUGUUUUAAAAGAUGAUUGGGGAAAGAAAUGAUAGGAUUAGAGUGAUAUAAACCUAGUGAAGCUAGAUUCAUAGGGCAUACAGCAGGUGAGAAGAUCAAAAAUGGCAAAAAAUGAAUGUUGCUUAUUCCAUGGUGGUCGUGACCACAUCUAGGGUGUAUGUUUGUGUGUAAAAUGCAUACUAUACAUGGGGGAAUGUUUUUUACAGAAUUGUCUUCAGCUAAUCUGGAACAGCGUUCAUAUAGCACAAAUCCUGUUGCCAUAAAGGGAUGAAAUUGUUACAUUUUUAAAGAGGUAAAAUGAAAAAUGAUUUUUAUUAGAUAUUUGAAUUAAGUCCUACUUACUUUUGGGACGUAGUCUUCCAGGAGGAGAUUAUUAAUGUUUCCUCUGUAACAACUUUACAUAUCUCAAACUUUUUUAAAUGUCAAAGAAUAUUUGAAAACUGCACUUUAAUGAUUGACAUUAUUUUCUUAGGCCUGUUUUACCACCAUGGAAUCAAACAUUCCAUCAAGAUUUACCUAGAGUCCUUUAAGGUUUCUCUACGCUAUCCUUCAUCCUAUACGCCUGCCUUCCAGGUACCCCUUUUCUUUACCAUUUCUCAGUUUCUUUGUGGCUUCUGGAGAAAGUACUUUUUUCUUUUUUCUUUUUUUAUGGUAGCUUUUAGAUUUUGAUCUUAUAAAGAAAAAAACAGUGUGUUACAUGCUUUUUUUACAUUGUACAUAUGCUUAAUCAGUAGUUGAUGGAAAUAAUUGCAGAGAUGUCUUCAUUCUAAGUAUCUGACUGUAUUGAAAGUGAGUAAUAGGAACCUUGUCAAAAUGGAAUGACCCUAACACAAUUUGUGGUGGCCCAUUCAUUGCAAGCUUUAUUUCUUGUAUACAAGAUUGAAACACCACAGAUGAAGCAAUACAUUGAAUACUCACGAUCUGUUAGAAGUUCCCCCUAAAUAGGUUAUUUUAGCUGUGCACUGUAAACUGGUUGGUUGCUAAUUGAUAGAAAACAUGCUGUCUGUGGAAGCUGCACAUAUGUUCAUGCAUGAGAGGAAAAAUAAUGUGGUGUAGACUCUAGGGAAAAUUACUGCCAGUGAAAGUGUCAGGAAGAGCAGUGGAUCCAAAUGAACUGGACCAGUUCUGGCAUUUAGUUUUUUUUAACUAGUGCAUUUUUUUUUAAACCGGGUACUGUAUUUAUGAUUGUUCAGUGUAUUUAAAAGACAGAUCCCCUCUUUUCUAGUCAAUGUUUGUCUUGCCUUGUUCGUGUAAAAUUAUGACACAAUUGGGUCUAUUGUACUUGAUAACCUUUUUUGGUAAUUAUAAUUUGGUGUUCUGUGCAUCUCACACUGAUAACCUUAAAGCGCUUCUACUCCAUGUGAUUUAUUUAAAUGUUAAUAAAUUAUACAUUUCUGGCA
RNA transcript from Dermochelys coriacea (leatherback sea turtle), 9706 nucleotides. It is a transcript of the gene named RNA binding motif protein 27, with no coding region annotated. The transcript has 23 exons. NCBI's taxonomy places the organism in Eukaryota, Metazoa, Chordata, Testudines, Dermochelyidae. The record is from RefSeq and is a predicted model, not a curated record.